This is a long non-coding RNA of Herpailurus yagouaroundi (jaguarundi), 4143 nucleotides long. RefSeq lists it as uncharacterized. The record is from RefSeq and is a predicted model, not a curated record. The transcript has 2 exons. NCBI's taxonomy places the organism in Eukaryota, Metazoa, Chordata, Mammalia, Carnivora, Felidae.
CCCCCCCCGCACAUGGAUGAACAGUGAGAUCGUGAACACUCCCUUGCCGAGCCCAGGACCCAUGGAUGUCAAUCAAACGUGGAUGGCAUUUGCUUGUCAAUACGGGGAUGAUGGCUGGGAAGAUGGUGACUUAUUACAUCAGGGUGAGAAUCUGAAAUGAGCAAGAACAAACAACAGCACAGCAAGCGGAACAGGAACCUCCCGGCGGCCUGGGAUCUUGUCUGCGGCUACCAUAGCACCGAGCGUCUCCUUUUCGGUUCCCUCCGCCUACCUUCCACAGCACCCCGGUUUAGUUCUUUCUUUCCUUCUUCUCGGUUUCAAAAGUAAGGUCAAAUGAGCCGGCGGAAGACAACACCGACUCAUUGAUUCUUUUAAGAGAAAUGUCGGGAGCUCCUUCAGGCCUUUCCUGGGAGAAUCAAGAGCGAGGCGCAGGCCCGCCGGGCCCAACCCAGCCUAGGUCUCCAGGUUUUCUCUCCCUCUGGCUGCUGAGGGGGCCACUGCUCUUGCUACUGGACAAGAGUCCUUCCCACUCCUCAAACCUUUAACUUUUAUUUUCGGGUAGUGGUUUUAGAAACGUGUGUCUGUGUCUUGGGAAUAAUUAUACAUGUAUUUCAGAAUACUUUUAUUCACACGAGGAACCUUAUUUUCAUAUAUUUGAGCAGCGGACACAUAGCAAAUUCUCCACUGACCACGAUGCCUAUUUUCCUAACACACGAUCUGGGUUGCUUCUCAAAAGCCACCUUUCUUUUAGGGGAUGAGAUGGUAAAGGGUGGUAACAGGAUGAAGGUUAAUGCAUUAAUCAAACUCUUUUCCGAUGCACCAAGCUAUCAACAUUCAGAAGACUUCUUUAUUGCUAAAGAGAGUCCAGGUGGGGGAUAGAGGGGGCAGUUUUUAAAAGGUAGAGUUGAAUAAAUAAAUUCUCAUUGAAAAAUCUCAAGAUACAUGGCAUUUUCCGCUGGAGACUGCUCACCUUACAGAGGAACCCAGUGAGGAUGCCAUGAAAUGGUAGGGUUGGAAUGAAUGCGGGCAAGCGAGUCCACACCAGCUCACGUUUGCAGAUGUUGUAAGGGCGGGACACAGCUGGGAGCAGAAUCGGGGCUGUCCAGUGCGCGUGCUGGUACCCUUUCCUCUACAUUGCACUGACGGACCUAUGGUACCGCUCUGUUCAUGGAGGCUCCUCUCCUUCUCCUUCCUUUAAUGCCAAAGCGCAGCUUGGCUUCGCGAGCGAGGGCACUGGCAUCUUAAAGUUCUGCUGAGGUUUGGAAAGGUGCUCUGUAGUCCUUCACGAAGAAGGCAACGUUGGCCAGGCCACAUGGCUGAGCCAUUUUCCUGUUGAGUGCACAAACCCCGGGUGGCCCGUGGACAUUUGGCUUUUCAGCGAAGUAAGUUUAAAUUAUGGGUCUCCUUCCUUCUCUAGAAGCGUCCCACCAUGUGCUUUGGGAGAAGCUUCUUGUUGUCGUUCAGGAUGACUGGGUAGUAGGUGAACUAAUGGCAGCUUGCAGCCACUUUCCACCACUUGAAUUUCUGAGAAGGUUCUCUGGAAAGUUACUCACGCUUCAGCCCUUAUUCUGACAGUUUGAAUAAGCCAUCUGAUAUGGCAUAUUACUCAUCAUCUCUAUAUGUAUAUAAUAAUAGAAAAUGUGUCAAUUAAAAAAAAAAUAUUUGGUUCUCUUCAGUCAUCAUCAGAGAAGCAAGUUAUCGCUCAGAUUUGAUGUUAAUCUUGGAGAUGAGCCCUGGGAAUCUAAUUUUCCCAAUCAUUUCUCAAGGAAACCCAAGGCUCCGUAUUCCCGUUCCUUCUACACCUGGGACUCUGUGACCAUUCGGAUUAUGAAGUUAAACGCAGAAACCCAAGAUCCAGGUUGGAUGACGGUGCUGUGAUUUUCAUCUUCCCCACAUCAUCUCUGUCUCUUUCGGAGAACCCAGCAGAUCCUGCACACGCGACUCCCACACAGAUGUGCAGGGACAUCAUUAAUCUUUAUUGAGCGCCCACCGGCAGCACAGCCCUACACUGGGCUCUUACAAGGCAAACAAAUCUUUAGUCAUGAGAAUGAUUUCCAAAUGCAGCCACACUUAAACAGAAAUAGCAUUUAUAAGGAGACAAUAAAAGGAGUUAGCAAACCCAAGGACUAUCUACAGGAACAGAGAUUUUAAAAGUCUGAAAAAAAAUCAGACUGGGAUCAGCUAUUUACCUUUGAUUUCUGGGUCUCCAAAUUGUAUUUCAGGACAUAUACUCCUUUGGCUGAGGAAUUCGAGAUUUCUAGAAAGGGUCUGCUUGGAGUAAUGGAAGGAAGUAGUAGUAUAUCCUUAUGGCUUUGGAAUCAGAGGAGUCUUAAUUUGGAUCCAGUGUCUUCAUUUACUAGCUAUGAAAGUUACUUAAUCUCCCUGAGGCUUAAUUCCCUUUUCUCUAAAAUGGGAAUAACACUAACACCUAAAUUGUAGGGUUGUUGUGAAGACGCAAGUUACUGCGUCAAUUACAGUGCUACCCAACUCAUGACCAGGGCCCAGUAAAUGUCAGUUUUCAUGUUUAUCUGUUGUAGGACUGCUGAGUAGAACAUGUGCAUACGGGCUGGACGGUAGGACACAGGCUUCGUAAAGGAAGCUAAAGGGUCAGACUUAAGACAAAUGCCAUCAAAUGGAUACUAAGUAUCACAGACUUGGACAAAACUAGAUAGAACACACAAGUUUUCCAGGAGAGGUGCCUGUGUAUCAUAUUAUAUAAUAUGAAAUGAAGUAAGACAAAACUCAAAACAACGCUCACCUUCACUUUUCUCCAAAAUAAGAAAAAAAAAAACACUUUUAUAGCAAGAUAAUUUGAAUUCACUGCAGUUUCACAGACCAACAUGUUGGAUUUAAAACCUACUAGGAAGCGUUAAAAUGUGCCCCCCCCACCCCGUUCCCGGAAAGUUCCCCAAAUCAACAGGUUGCAAAUGUAUAUAAAAAUCAUUGAGAUAGUUUCUCAGGAACUGUUCCCGUGGAUGACGAUUCUUGAAAAAGUUAACAUAUAUCAGAGAGGGCUGCUUUGUAUAGUUAGCCAGAAGAGUAAUCACUCUGAAGGAAAUAAAUCAUAACCACAUGCAGUAGGGAAUUUUCAACAAAAAACUCUCCAUGGAGGAUAGUGAGUUGGAAAGCUGGCUUGACAGGUCUUUUGCCAGAAAACUAUUGAAUAGCCAGCUGGAAAAUUAUUGAGUAGCACAUUGCAUAAGACUUGGUAUAAUGCAUGGCUUCAAGUUGGCCUCAAAUUCUUGUCAUAUCAAUCAAUGCAAGGAUGAAAUCUCUAAUAUGGAUAUGCUAUUUUAUACUCGCUUUCCACGGGUGGAAUGGUCAGGCCCUAAGACCCUAUUUGAUGUAGAACUGAAGGGAAAGUUACCAACAAUGAAAUCUCAGGGGUCAGCAAGUCCUCCCAAGUGAUGGUCGUGAUAACUCGGCCAUACAAGGAAGAUGGGCGAGUUCAAGAAACUGCUGCCAUUAGACUAUAGGGCAUUCCAAGCAGAAGAUAUAUCAUAGAAACACAGCUGCGAAGCCUUAUAGCAGACAAGGUCAAUUGGUCAGGUCAGAUUGGUUAAUCAGGCAGGUAGCGAUAAGAACUGCGGUAGUCUUAUUGUUUUAAAAAUCAAAAGCAUCAUGAAUCCUGACAGAGGUUACAGAGAACCACCAACAGAGCCAGACCCUGCCAAGAGCAGCUGCUAUUCUAGAAUCUGGGUCUAAGCGAGAUUGGGCUGGGGUCGAUAGAAACAUCAAAUGAAAGUACAUUCAGCCCCACUGCUAUAUGAGAGUACCCCCAGAGAAACUCACUUUCAAAUAUGAACAAUCUGUCCUGUGGAAAAAAAAUAUUGCAUUCCUUGGGUAUUUGUAGAUGAAUAGACAUAUCAGCUUUUCCCUAAUUCGGGCAACCUCUUGGGAAUAGUCUUGAACUACGUAAAAAUAGAUACAGUUUAAAACCAUAAUCCUAAAAAUAAAUUGUAAUUUAGAUCUGUAAUAAGCUGGAGGGGAAAAAAUUUAACUAUCGUAGGGAGUUGUAUGUUCAAUAUAAGUAGUUGUAUAUUUCAGUGUUUCCCAUUGAAAGUAGUUGCAACAAUUCAUCAUUUAAUUACUUUAUAUUUGGCUCUGGAAAGUGGAAAAUGUAGUAAAAGGUGGUGCUACUUA